RNAcentral lists this ribosomal RNA (433 nucleotides) under uncultured bacterium. Its description in RNAcentral is "partial 16S ribosomal RNA". It matches the Rfam family "Bacterial small subunit ribosomal RNA", at positions 29 to 507 of the family's 1533-position model. The record is from RNAcentral.
AACGAACGCUGGCGGCAUGCCUAACACAUGCAAGUCGAACGAGACCUUCGGGUCUAGUGGCGCACGGGUGCGUAACGCGUGGGAAUCUGCCCCUGGGUUCGGAAUAACAGUUGGAAACGACCGCUAAUACCGGAUGAUGACGUAAGUCCAAAGAUUUAUCGCCCAAGGAUGAGCCCGCGUAGGAUUAGCUAGUUGGUGAGGUAAAGGCUCACCAAGGCGACGAUCCUUAGCUGGUCUGAGAGGAUGAUCAGCCACACUGGGACUGAGACACGGCCCAGACUCCUACGGGAGGCAGCAGUGGGGAAUAUUGGACAAUGGGCGAAAGCCUGAUCCAGCAAUGCCGCGUGAGUGAUGAAGGCCUUAGGGUUGUAAAGCUCUUUUACCCGGGAUGAUAAUGACAGUACCGGGAGAAUAAGCUCCGGCUAACUCCGUG